AAUAGAUACCCCGGUAGUCCACGCCGUAAACGAUGAGUGCUAAGUGUUAGGGGGUUUCCACCCCUUAGUGCUGCAGCUAACGCAUUAAACACUCCGCCUGGGGAGUACGGUCGCAAGACUGAAACUCAAAGGAAUUGACGGGGGCCCGCACAAGCGGUGGGGGCAUGUGGUUUAAUUCGAAGCAACGCGAAGAACCUUACCAGGUCUUGACAUCCCGGUGACCGCUCUAGAGAUAGAGCUUUCCCUUCGGGGACAGCGGUGACUGGUGGUGCAUGGUUGUCGUCAGCUCGUGUCGUGAGAUGUUGGGUUAAGUCCCGCAACGAGCGCAACCCUUGUUCUUAGUUGCCAUCAUUCAGUUGGGCACUCUAAGGGAGACUGCCGCAGACAAUGCGGAAGGAAGGUGGGGAUGACGUCAAAUCAUCAUGCCCCCUUAUGACCUGGGCUACACACGUGCUACAAUGGACGGUACAAACGGUUGCUAAGUCGCGAGACGGAGCUAAUCCGAGAAAACCGUUCUCAGUUCGGAUUGCAGGCUGC
RNAcentral lists this ribosomal RNA (537 nucleotides) under uncultured bacterium. Its description in RNAcentral is "bacterial SSU rRNA". It matches the Rfam family "Bacterial small subunit ribosomal RNA", at positions 777 to 1308 of the family's 1533-position model. The record is from RNAcentral.